AACACAAAUAGGAUUGGAUGAAAAGUAAGGCCUCAACUUCCGAGCUGCAUGGACUAGAGCCAAGACCAGUUUCACUGCACUAGUCUAUUUUUGUUCGGCUCCGUGUAGCGCUCUACUUACAUAGUACACUGGCCUUUGUGUAUUUCCAUCUUGUUGCACAAGCACAACACUAAUUGCCUCUUAUAUCUUAUAAAUAUAAAUAUAAAGUAU
This 210-nucleotide long non-coding RNA is filed under the name Nicotiana benthamiana. Its description in RNAcentral is "long non-coding RNA (NBEN_LNC040263)". Lineage: Eukaryota; Viridiplantae; Streptophyta; Magnoliopsida; Solanales; Solanaceae. The record is from RNAcentral.